Molecule: ribosomal RNA, 253 nt
Filed under: uncultured bacterium
Lineage: Bacteria
Description: partial 16S ribosomal RNA
Rfam family: Bacterial small subunit ribosomal RNA
Source: RNAcentral
UACGUAGGGGGCAAGCGUUAUCCGGAUUUACUGGGUGUAGAGGGAGCGUAGACGGCACUGCAAGUCUGGAGUGAAAGCCCGAGGCCCAACCACGGGACUGCUCUGGAAACUGCGGGGCUGGAGUGCAGGAGGGGUAAGCGGAAUUCCUAGUGUAGCGGUGAAAUGCGUAGAUAUUAGGAGGAACACCGGUGGCGAAGGCGGCUUACUAGACUGUAACUGACGUUGAGGCUCGAAGGCGUGGGGAGCAAACAGG